AACAUGAAACUAGAAGUUUGCAUGGAUCCUUAAGGGUAUGUGGCAAGGCAGCAAAAAGAGAUUUCUUGGUCUUCCCCGGUUUAUCAAACUCAAUUCAAAUGGGGCUCAUGAAGUGGCCAUGAGAUAUGCCUCGGCUGGGGUUUGCUUCGUGAUCAUACUAGCUCCUGGUGCGGUGGAUUUGCUGGGAAAAGUGUAGCAUAGUCAUGGUAGAG
RNAcentral lists this long non-coding RNA (212 nucleotides) under Manihot esculenta (cassava). RNAcentral describes it as "long non-coding RNA (MESC_LNC007709)". The record is from RNAcentral. Lineage: Eukaryota; Viridiplantae; Streptophyta; Magnoliopsida; Malpighiales; Euphorbiaceae.